Molecule: long non-coding RNA, 2997 nt
Filed under: Citrus maxima (pomelo)
Lineage: Eukaryota; Viridiplantae; Streptophyta; Magnoliopsida; Sapindales; Rutaceae
Description: long non-coding RNA (CMAX_LNC001802)
Source: RNAcentral
AAAAAAAAAAACAAAACUCUACACUUUCUAAACAUGGCUCCCCCUCAUUCGCUUAGAAAAUUUUCCGAUUUGCCUCUCUUUUCUCUCCAUGGCAAAAAACUUUCCCUUUGAUUUACUUCAAUCUUUAAGCCACAAUAAUAAAAAAUACACCAAUUAGAUCAAUUCUCUUCGUGUUCAAUAUGUUACAAAACCCAAUUACUUCAUUCUAUUUGUUUUCAGUUUCUCUGAUUAAUCUUAUCUUACUGCCUAUUCAUUGAAACCCUAAAUUGCCAAUUACAUUCACAGUUUGCUUUAGUUUGCUACAGUAAGUUCAAUUCUCCCUUUCACUAGCUUUAAUUCGUUAUAUGUUUCAUUUGAGAUUGUGGAAUUUUUUUGUUUGGGUUUUUAUCUAUGAUUUGGUUUGGGAUUUUGGUUUUUCAAGUAGAUAAGAGCUGAGAGGACCGAUGUAAACAAUUGCCAUGAUUUAAUUUGAUCGAUUAACCUCAAAUCGCUACCUAUCAUUGAGACCCUAAAUACCGUUUCAGAUCGCCGUUAAAAUUGAGUUCGCAACUAUAAGUUCAGUUGUCCCUCUCUCUCUCACUCACUCUUGUUCAUGUGUUAUAUGAGUUGGUUUUUCUUUUUCUAUUAGUGUGUUAUUUUUUGUGCUUACUCCAUUUAGUCCAAAUGUUUUCCUAACAUAAAUCCUCUUUCCCACAAAUAGUGUUUACGUUGAAUAAACUCAAUUUCUAGAAUGAAACAUUUGAUAACUGAUAUCUCAUACGUGAUAAUAAUGUAUAUUUUUUGGGAAUACAUUGGGAAGUAAGUUAGGAAGUAAAUAUACUAACACUUUUUUGUUUUGCUUAUUUGAUUUGCUGGAUUUAAUAGUGCCACUGGAUUUUUUGUUGUAGCACUCUAUGGACAAUCAAUUUGAUGUCAACUACCCACGACAUCUAUUGCUAUGCUUAUCAAUAAACCAAUGGGAAAUUAUCAUUCGUAUACCCUAUAGUUGCUCUGUUAUAAAAAAUACUAUUAACACUUUGAGGGUGUAUCAAUCGUCAACUAAAAUGUAUUUGCCGUCCACCAAACCGUUACUUGCCGUUUAAAUAGGAUGACACCAGAGGAGUAAUUUGGUCUUUUCAUAUGAUACAAGUGAUAAUAAAAGAAUUUAAGGGUAAAAUUGUCAAUUCACUAUAAUUCUGUUAACUUUCAAAUGGUAGCUAACUGUUUGGUGAUCGGCAUAUAGCUUUUGUCAAUUUAGAGUGGAUGAUUGAUAUACCUUCAAAGUAUUGUAGUAUUUUUAAUAAUAGAGCAAUUAUAGGGUAUACGAUUGAUAAUUUCCCUAAACCAAUUAACUAUACUUGGGAGUGGAUGGGUCAGUUAUCUUGUUAAUUUACUUGUUCUCUCCUUCUAUACAUGACUAGCAACUUGUUUGUAAAAUAAAAAAAAAAAAUCAGGUUUGAUUGUUUGUAUUUUCAUCUGAGUGACUUGAAAGAAAAAGAAAAUAGUAGAUUAUGAAUGAGAGGAACUUGUGGAAGUGUUUGUGAAAAUGUUAAAUUUAAGUGAUAAGUUCUUGCUUCAGCUUUAUUAAUAAUUAACUUUUAGGCAAUUAUAUAUCGAAGAAAGAAAACUCAUAUGAUGUUUGACAUUUAUUUGUUGGUGAUUGUUGCAGCAUUUUGCUUAGGAAAAACACAAAUGUUGAUUUGAUGGCCAAGGAGCCUGGUAAGUUCAUUACUCUGUUUAAUUUUCUUUUAUUUUUUAAAUAUUUUACAUCUUUUUGUUUCUUGAAAGAUUAAUUAAAUUUCGAAGCCUGUUAAGUUCAUUGCUAUGUAUUAAAUUUCUUUUCUUUUUUAAAAAAAAAAAUAUUUUACAUGUUUCCUUUCUUGAAAGCUUAAUUAUAGAUCAGUGUUGAGAGUUUAAUCUCCCUUGGAUAUGCUAAAUCAGUGAUUAUGCCUUUGACAUCAGAUGAGAAGAUGACACCUAUAUGCAGUUAUCUAUAAAAAUCUUGUUAGCACACUGAAUUAGCUUGUCAUUUGAAUUAUUACUUCUAAUUGAUAAAUUUCUGGUUGAAGGAGCUAAGAGUUUUCUAAUUGUUAGGUUCAAUGUUAGAAUAUGUAGGUUGUUGAGUAAUCAUUAAUCACGCACGCUUUGUGCCUUUUAUUCCUUUUUACUAUUUCAAUAUUUCAAGUUCCAAUCACUUUUUGAUGCUUAAUGAAAUAUAUUUAUCCAAGAGCAUGAAAACUUUUUCGCUUGGAAUUUUUUAUACUUGGCCACUAAUAUUUUACAAUCCGUCACUCAUGGACUGAUAGCACAACAUCAAAUUCUCCGACGUUUUAAUAGUUGCUACUUUUAUUUUCCUUAAUAAUUACAUUCUUAAAAAGUAGUAAAUGUAAUCAAAAUAAAUGAAAACAACUUGCUGCUUGUGCAAGCUUAUUGGAAUCUAAUACUUAUUGCUCUCAUUAUGUGCAUCUAUGGUUUUUCCCCCAUUACUUUGUCCAUAUUUUGAUUUCAAAUUAUAAUGUAUUCUCUUUUAUAAAUGACACAUUAAUUGGGCUUUUAUUGUUUAAUUCCCUUUUUAGUAGCAUAUUGUUGGGUUUAGAUAAUUUGCUUUAUCGUAUUUCUAGGUUCUUAUUUAGUUUAGGAUUAGAAGUUGAGUUGCAUAUGAUAAUUAAUAUUGGUGUUGGAAUUAAAGUACAGCUUUGCAGGAAAAUUAACUGCUGGAUGGUUUUGCAUGGAUUCAAGUGUUAUUGGAAUUGGUGUGCAUUUUUGUUGAAAAAUUAGCUGCGGGAUUGAAAGAAAGUGAUUCUGCUUACUGUUGGGCCGGAAUUUGAACACAGAAUGCCUAGACUUGGAUUGUUUAUUGUAUUGUGAAUGGAUGCAUAAUUUUUUUUAAUUGAUAUAUUUUAAAGGUAUAGUGACACUGGUGGUUCGUAACUUUUAAUUUGUUAGAUAUUUGGUUGUACUUUGGAUUUUAUUUAAUAUUACAUUUUAUAUUAAUUUAAAAAUUUAACUUCUAAAAAU